GUAAAAUAAGGAGACUCACGAAUCCUCCUUGUUGAAGAGAACUGUGGCCCAGCCAGGUAUGAAGCCUGGCUCUCUGGUGAACCACAGGAGCACAAGCAAAAUGAAGAUGGCUUUAAGCUCUUACAGGGCUGGACGAACACCAACCAGGAGAAGAACUCGAAGAGCGAUGCGUUUAUGAAGGUUCCAGUGCUCCACUGCAAUGGCCACCAAGAGACCGCCCACAAACAGCAUGUUGGAGUCUUUCAAAUACUCAAUACUGACCUGAAAAAAGAAUAUUAAUAUUAAUUCAUGACAUUAAAACUAUGUCCAAAAGAAAUUAAAAUUCAUCUGAGCACACUCA
Gambusia affinis (western mosquitofish) is the source of this 340-nucleotide long non-coding RNA. RefSeq lists it as uncharacterized. The record is from RefSeq and is a predicted model, not a curated record. NCBI's taxonomy places the organism in Eukaryota, Metazoa, Chordata, Actinopteri, Cyprinodontiformes, Poeciliidae. The transcript is spliced from 2 exons.